UAACCUCUUGAAAGAGGGGCUAAUACCGGAUAACACACCUCAUCGCAUGGUGAGGGGUUGAAAGGCUUGCUGCUGGAAGAGGGGUCUGCGGGACAUUAGCUUGUUGGUGGGGUAACGGCCUACCAAGGCAGCGAUGUCUAGCGGGUCUGAGAGGAUGAUCCGUCACACUGGAACUGAGACACGGUCCAGACUCCUACGGGAGGCAGUAGUGGGGAAUUUUGCGCAAUGGGCGAAAGCCUGACGCAGCAACGCCGCGUGAGUGAAGAAGGCUUUUGGGUCGUAAAGCUCUUUUCUGAGGGAAGAGUAAAGACGGUACCUCAGGAAUAAGCACCGGCUAACUCCGUGCCAGCAGCCGCGGUAAUACGGAGGGUGCAAGCGUUGUUCGGAUUUACUGGGCGUAAAGGGCGU
RNAcentral lists this ribosomal RNA (408 nucleotides) under uncultured bacterium. RNAcentral's name for it is "bacterial SSU rRNA". It matches the Rfam family "Bacterial small subunit ribosomal RNA", at positions 144 to 570 of the family's 1533-position model. The record is from RNAcentral.